This 253-nucleotide ribosomal RNA is filed under the name uncultured bacterium. Its description in RNAcentral is "partial 16S ribosomal RNA". It matches the Rfam family "Bacterial small subunit ribosomal RNA", at positions 524 to 776 of the family's 1533-position model. The record is from RNAcentral.
UACGGAGGGUGCAAGCAUUGAUCGGAAUUACUGGGCGUAAAGGGUGCGUAGGCGGUCGGGUAAGUCUGAUGUGAAAUCUCACAGCUUAACUGUGAAACUGCAUUGGAUACUAUCCGGCUCGAGGAAUGGAGGGGAGACUGGAAUACUUGGUGUAGCAGUGAAAUGCGUAGAUAUCAAGUGGAACACCAGUGGCGAAGGCGAGUCUCUGGACAUUUCCUGACGCUGAGGCACGAAAGCCAGGGGAGCAAACGGG